RNAcentral lists this ribosomal RNA (150 nucleotides) under Escherichia coli. RNAcentral describes it as "partial 16S ribosomal RNA". It matches the Rfam family "Bacterial small subunit ribosomal RNA", at positions 1 to 142 of the family's 1533-position model. The record is from RNAcentral. RNAcentral also lists the same sequence under 1 other name. Lineage: Bacteria; Pseudomonadati; Pseudomonadota; Gammaproteobacteria; Enterobacterales; Enterobacteriaceae.
UUAAAUUGAAGAGUUUGAUCAUGGCUCAGAUUGAACGCUGGCGGCAGGCCUAACACAUGCAAGUCGAACGGUAACAGAAAGCAGCUUGCUGCUUUGCUGACGAGUGGCGGACGGGUGAGUAAUGUCUGGGAAACUGCCUGAUGGAGGGGG